This 496-nucleotide ribosomal RNA is filed under the name uncultured bacterium. RNAcentral describes it as "partial 16S ribosomal RNA". It matches the Rfam family "Bacterial small subunit ribosomal RNA", at positions 29 to 507 of the family's 1533-position model. The record is from RNAcentral.
AUGAACGCUGGCGGCGUGCCUAAUACAUGCAAGUCGAGCGCACGGACGAGAAGCUUGCUUCUCUGAUGUUAGCGGCGGACGGGUGAGUAACACGUGGAUAACCUACCUAUAAGACUGGGAUAACUUCGGGAAACCGGAGCUAAUACCGGAUAAUAUUUUGAACCGCAUGGUUCAAAGGUGAAAGACGGUCUUGCUGUCACUUAUAGAUGGAUCCGCGCUGCAUUAGCUAGUUGGUAAGGUAACGGCUUACCAAGGCAACGAUGCAUAGCCGACCUGAGAGGGUGAUCGGCCACACUGGAACUGAGACACGGUCCAGACUCCUACGGGAGGCAGCAGUAGGGAAUCUUCCGCAAUGGGCGAAAGCCUGACGGAGCAACGCCGCGUGAGUGAUGAAGGUCUUCGGAUCGUAAAACUCUGUUAUUAGGGAAGAACAUAUGUGUAAGUAACUGUGCACAUCUUGACGGUACCUAAUCAGAAAGCCACGGCUAACUACGUG